GACGCGGUAGAGGAGCGUCGUGUAAGCCGACGAAGGUGGAUCGAGAGGUCUGCUGGAGGUAUCACGAGUGCGAAUGCUGACAUGAGUAACGACAAGGGGAGUGAAAAACUCCCCCGCCGGAAGACCAAGGGUUUCUGUUCGACGCUAAUCGGAGCAGAGUGAGUCGGCCCCUAAGGCGAGGCCGAAAGGCGUAGUCGAUGGGAAACGGGUCAAUAUUCCCGUACCUCACUGUAUUGCGAUGGGGGGACGAAGAAGGCUAGGUGAGCCAGGCGUUGGUUGUCCUGGUGAAAGUCAGUAGGCUGGGGGAUCAGGCAAAUCCGGUUCCCCAAGGCCGAGAGACGAGACGAACAGACUACGGUCUGGAAGUCAUCGAUGCCACGCUUCCAGGAAAAGCCUCUAAGCUUCAGAUACAGUGGGACCGUACCCCAAACCGACACAGGUGGUCAGGUAGAGAAUACCCAGGCGCUUGAGAGAACUCGGGUGAAGGAACUAGGCAAAAUGGUGCCGUAACUUCGGGAGAAGGCACGCCGGACUAGGGUGACGGGACUUGCUCCCUGAGCCUGAACCGGUCGAAGAUACCAGGUGGCUGCAACUGUUUAUUAAAAACACAGCACUCUGCAAACGCGCAAGCGGACGUAUAGGGUGUGACGCCUGCCCGGUGCCGGAAGGUUAAGUGAUGGUGUUAGCGCAAGCGAAGCUCCUGAUCGAAGCCCCGGUAAACGGCGGCCGUAACUAUAACGGUCCUAAGGUAGCGAAAUUCCUUGUCGGGUAAGUUCCGACCUGCACGAAUGGCGUAAUGAUGGCCACGCUGUCUCCACCCGAGACUCAGUGAAAUUGAAAUCGCAGUGAAGAUGCUGUGUACCCGCGGCUAGACGGAAAGACCCCGUGAACCUUUACUAUAGCUUCACACUGGACGCUGAUGUUGCUUGUGUAGGAUAGCUGGGAGGCUUGGAAACCGUGGCGCCAGCCACGGUGGAGCCAACCUUGAAAUACCAGCCUGGCAUCAUUGGCGUUCUAACUCAGGUCCGUGAUCCGGAUCGAGGACCGUGUGUGGUGGGUAGUUUGACUGGGGCGGUCUCCUCCCAAAGCGUAACGGAGGAGCACGAAGGUACCCUCAGCACGGUUGGAAAUCGUGCAUUGAGUGCAAGAGCAUAAGGGUGCUUAACUGCGAGACAGACACGUCGAGCAGGUACGAAAGUAGGUUCUAGUGAUCCGGUGGUUCUGUAUGGAAGGGCCAUCGCUCAACGGAUAAAAGGUACUCCGGGGAUAACAGGCUGAUACCGCCCAAGAGUUCACAUCGACGGCGGUGUUUGGCACCUCGAUGUCGGCUCAUCACAUCCUGGGGCUGAAGUCGGUCCCAAGGGUAUGGCUGUUCGCCAUUUAAAGUGGUACGCGAGCUGGGUUUAGAACGUCGUGAGACAGUUCGGUCCCUAUCUGCCGUGGGCGUUGGAUGUUUGAGAAGUGCUGCUCCUAGUACGAGAGGACCGGAGUGGACGCACCUCUGGUGUUCCGGUUGUCACGCCAGUGGCAUUGCCGGGUAGCUAUGUGCGGACGGGAUAACCGCUGAAAGCAUCUAAGCGGGAAGCCCCCUUCAAGAUGAGACAUCCCCGAGGCCU
RNAcentral lists this ribosomal RNA (1616 nucleotides) under Halomonas ventosae. RNAcentral's name for it is "partial 23S ribosomal RNA". It matches the Rfam family "Bacterial large subunit ribosomal RNA", at positions 1222 to 2823 of the family's 2925-position model. Lineage: Bacteria; Pseudomonadati; Pseudomonadota; Gammaproteobacteria; Oceanospirillales; Halomonadaceae. The record is from RNAcentral.